Molecule: transfer RNA, 72 nt
Filed under: Camelus bactrianus (Bactrian camel)
Lineage: Eukaryota; Metazoa; Chordata; Mammalia; Artiodactyla; Camelidae
Also listed under: 2 other names
Rfam family: tRNA
About the family: Transfer RNA (tRNA) molecules are approximately 80 nucleotides in length. Their secondary structure includes four short double-helical elements and three loops (D, anti-codon, and T loops). Further hydrogen bonds mediate the characteristic L-shaped molecular structure. tRNAs have two regions of fundamental functional importance: the anti-codon, which is responsible for specific mRNA codon recognition, and the 3' end, to which the tRNAs corresponding amino acid is attached (by aminoacyl-tRNA synthetases). tRNAs cope with the degeneracy of the genetic code in two manners: having more than one tRNA (with a specific anti-codon) for a particular amino acid; and 'wobble' base-pairing, i.e. permitting non-standard base-pairing at the 3rd anti-codon position.
Source: Rfam by way of RNAcentral
GGGUAUAUAGCUCAGUGGUAGAGCACAUGCUUAGCAUGCACGAGGUCCUGGGUUCAAUCCCCAGUGACUCCU